This 448-nucleotide long non-coding RNA is filed under the name Heterocephalus glaber (naked mole-rat). RNAcentral describes it as "lncRNA (ENSHGLG00000046107.1)". Lineage: Eukaryota; Metazoa; Chordata; Mammalia; Rodentia; Bathyergidae. The record is from RNAcentral.
GAACAUUGUCUUUAACCCAUUGAUGUAGCUUUGAAUUUUUCAUAGACAUCAUUUAUUUAAACAUGGAUAAUUCUUACCGUGGUGUUGUGUUUAUAGUUGAAUGAAAGGAAGGAGCGGGUCCCUCAACUUCCAUGCUUCUAACUGUACUAGCUUCUCAAAAGAUGUAUUUUAAUUGAGACCUGCAGGACAAGACUCAACCAGGGAACAGUUGGGGAGAAAGCUCCAGGCAGCCUGGGAACAAGACUAGGGAAAGGCACCUGGCAGCCUCAGACAACUGAAAAUACGCAAACUGGAAUGAUGGGAGCAUGAAAGGAUUUGUAACAGUGUUCCAGUGGCUGACAUCAAACUCUCGAUACUUCCGCCUCAGUCUUACCAGCAGCUGGAAUUAUAGACGUGGGACACCGUGUCUUGAGAGCUGGGGUUCUUUUUAAAGGUAAGCGUACCCUGC